Molecule: microRNA precursor, 134 nt
Filed under: Picea abies (Norway spruce)
Lineage: Eukaryota; Viridiplantae; Streptophyta; Pinopsida; Pinales; Pinaceae
Description: miR11560 stem-loop (pab-MIR11560)
Source: miRBase by way of RNAcentral
GCAGCCUGUUCAGGUAAUGUAACGCCCUGUUUUGAUCUACGGAUGGCUUUUGGUGAAAAAUUAAAGAGGCUGUUCAAAUGUCCAGCUGUCAUUGUUGGAUGAAUGGAGGCCGUUCCAUUGCUUGCACACGCUGC